UACAGAGAUGGCAAGCGUUGUUCGGAAUUACUGGGCGUAAAGGGCGCGUAGGCGGCCAUCUAAGUCAGACGUGAAAUCCCCCGGCUUAACCUGGGAACUGCGUCUGAUACUGGAAGGCUUGAGUAUGGGAGAGGGAUGUAGAAUUCCAGGUGUAGCGGUGAAAUGCGUAGAUAUCUGGGGGAACACCGGUGGCGAAGGCGGCAUCCUGGACCGGUAUUGACGCUGAGGCGCGAAAGCUAGGGGAGCAAACGGG
This 253-nucleotide ribosomal RNA is filed under the name uncultured bacterium. RNAcentral's name for it is "partial 16S ribosomal RNA". It matches the Rfam family "Bacterial small subunit ribosomal RNA", at positions 524 to 776 of the family's 1533-position model. The record is from RNAcentral.